RNAcentral lists this ribosomal RNA (492 nucleotides) under uncultured bacterium. Its description in RNAcentral is "partial 16S ribosomal RNA". It matches the Rfam family "Bacterial small subunit ribosomal RNA", at positions 29 to 507 of the family's 1533-position model. The record is from RNAcentral.
AGUGAACGCUGGCGGUAGGCCUAACACAUGCAAGUCGAACGGCAGCACAGUAAGAGCUUGCUCUUACGGGUGGCGAGUGGCGGACGGGUGAGGUAUACAUCGGAAUCUACUUUUUCGUGGGGGAUAACGUAGGGAAACUUACGCUAAUACCGCAUACGACCUACGGGUGAAAGCAGGGGAUCUUCGGGCCUUGCGCGAUUGAAUGAGCCGAUGUCGGAUUAGCUAGUUGGCGGGGUAAAGGCCCACCAAGGCGACGAUCCGUAGCUGGUCUGAGAGGAUGAUCAGACACACUGGAACUGAGACACGGUCCAGACUCCUACGGGAGGCAGCAGUGGGGAAUAUUGGACAAUGGGCGCAAGCCUGAUCCAGCCAUACCGCGUGGGUGAAGAAGGCCUUCGGGUUGUAAAGCCCUUUUGUUGGGAAAGAAAAGCAGCAGGUUAAUACCACGCUGUUCUGACGGUACCCAAAGAAUAAGCACCGGCUAACUUCGUG